Molecule: ribosomal RNA, 528 nt
Filed under: Desulfovibrio sp. enrichment culture
Lineage: Bacteria; Pseudomonadati; Thermodesulfobacteriota; Desulfovibrionia; Desulfovibrionales; Desulfovibrionaceae
Description: bacterial SSU rRNA
Rfam family: Bacterial small subunit ribosomal RNA
Source: RNAcentral
GGGGAAACCUGACGCAGCGACGUCGUGUGAGGGAAGAAGGCCUUCGGGUCGUAAACCUCUGUCAGAAGGGAAGAACAUCCGGGAGUCGAACAGCCUCCCGGCCUGACGGUACCUUCAGAGGAAGCGCCGGCUAACUCCGUGCCAGCAGCCGCGGUAAUACGGAGGGCGCAAGCGUUAAUCGGAAUCACUGGGCGUAAAGCGUGCGUAGGCUGCUUGAUAAGUCAGACGUGAAAUCCCUCGGCUCAACCGGGGAACUGCGUUUGAUACUGUCGAGCUAGAGUCCUGGAGAGGGUGGCGGAAUUCCUGGUGUAGGAGUGAAAUCCGUAGAUAUCAGGAGGAACACCGGUGGCGAAGGCGGCCACCUGGACAGGUACUGACGCUGAGGUACGAAAGCGUGGGGAGCAAACAGGAUUAGAUACCCUGGUAGUCCACGCGGUAAACGAUGGAUGCUAGGUGUCGGGGGAGCGAUCUUCGGCGCCGCAGCUAACGCAUUAAGCAUCCCGCCUGGGGAGUACGGUCGCAAGGCUG